GCUCACACUGGGAAUAAAGCUCAGAAAGGCGUGAGAGGAGCGACGUGCGUGUUGCUGAUCUUGAGGCGCGAUGGAUGGGUGGCUCAGCCACGGGUCUGGGCGUCCUUGAGGGAAUCCUUGCUGCACCACCCUCGAAUAGCCACAUGGGGACUCCCAGCGCCCAGACUGCAAACCUUCCGUCCCUGGGACAGCCGCACCCUCAAGGUUCUCAGAAUGGGCAGCCACAGCAGCCUUCAGGCCAGUGGCCUCGCUGGCAAAACCCAGACGGAGACAAGGAAGAUAGGAGGACCAUCAUACAAA
This 300-nucleotide long non-coding RNA is filed under the name Coccomyxa subellipsoidea. RNAcentral describes it as "long non-coding RNA (CSUB_LNC000467)". Lineage: Eukaryota; Viridiplantae; Chlorophyta; Trebouxiophyceae; Coccomyxaceae. The record is from RNAcentral.